Molecule: non-coding RNA, 22 nt
Filed under: Callorhinchus milii (elephant shark)
Lineage: Eukaryota; Metazoa; Chordata; Chondrichthyes; Chimaeriformes; Callorhinchidae
Also listed under: 33 other names
Source: RNAcentral
CAUCUUACUGGGCAGCAUUGGA